UGUCUCCUGGUGCUUACCAUAGGCUGUAUUCUUACACUGUACAGAAAGAGGAGGCAAAGUAAACCUACCCCAGGAUAGAACAAGGAAGAUCAGUCUAAGAGGCACAAGGAAAAAUGG
RNAcentral lists this small nucleolar RNA (117 nucleotides) under Castor canadensis (American beaver). Its description in RNAcentral is "Small nucleolar RNA SNORA51 (ENSCCNG00000008663.1)". It matches the Rfam family "Small nucleolar RNA SNORA51". Rfam says of the family: ACA51 is a member of the H/ACA class of snoRNA that guide the sites of modification of uridines to pseudouridines. The record is from Rfam by way of RNAcentral. Lineage: Eukaryota; Metazoa; Chordata; Mammalia; Rodentia; Castoridae.